Molecule: non-coding RNA, 29 nt
Filed under: Bombyx mori (domestic silkworm)
Lineage: Eukaryota; Metazoa; Arthropoda; Insecta; Lepidoptera; Bombycidae
Source: RNAcentral
UACCGUGGAGCCUUCGUCCAGCAGGGCCA